AGAGUUUGAUCCUGGCUCAGGAUGAACGCUAGCGACAUGCUUAACACAUGCAAGUCGAGGGGCAGCGGGGGAGUAGCAAUACUUCGCCGGCGACCGGCGCACGGGUGAGUAACACGUGUGCAACCAACCCCGUACCGGGAGAUAACCCGCGGAAACGUGGACUAACAUCCCAUAAGACUCUAGAGCCGCAUGGCUUUGGAUUUAAAAUUCCGGUGGUACGGGACGGGCACGCGCGACAUUAGGUAGUUGGCGGGGUAAGGGCCCACCAAGCCG
This 273-nucleotide ribosomal RNA is filed under the name uncultured bacterium. RNAcentral's name for it is "partial 16S ribosomal RNA". It matches the Rfam family "Bacterial small subunit ribosomal RNA", at positions 8 to 275 of the family's 1533-position model. The record is from RNAcentral.